Molecule: ribosomal RNA, 497 nt
Filed under: uncultured bacterium
Lineage: Bacteria
Description: partial 16S ribosomal RNA
Rfam family: Bacterial small subunit ribosomal RNA (bases 15-380)
Source: RNAcentral
GAUGAACGCUGGCGGCGUGCCUAAUACAUGCAAGUCGAGCGAACAGACGAGGAGCUUGCUCCUCUGACGUUAGCGGCGGACGGGUGAGUAACACGUGGAUAACCUACCUAUAAGACUGGGAUAACUUCGGGAAACCGGAGCUAAUACCGGAUAAUAUAUUGAACCGCAUGGUUCAAUAGUGAAAGACGGUUUUGCUGUCACUUAUAGAUGGAUCCGCGCCGCAUUAGCUAGUUGGUAAGGUAACGGCUUACCAAGGCAACGAUGCGUAGCCGACCUGAGGGGGAGGAGGAGCAGAGGGUAGGAGAGAACGGUCAGAGACACUGGGGGGGGGAAAAGGAAGGGAAUCUUCAGGGAGGGAGAAGUGCGGAAGGGAGCGACGCGGGGGAAAGAAGGAAGGAGUUAGGAAGUAAGAAGUAUGUAGGUAGGAAGAAAAAAAAAUGAAAGAAACGGGGAAGGUAAUGACGGUACAAAAAGAAAAAGCCCCGGCUAACUCCGUG